AGAGUUUGAUCCUGGCUCAGGACGAACGCUGGCGGCGUGCUUAAUACAUGCAAGUCGAGCGAGGUUGCGAAUUGGGUAACUGAUUUGCAGCUUAGCGGCGGACGGGUGAGUAACGCGUGGGCAAUCUGCCCUCUAGCCUGGGAUAACAGUUCGAAAGGACUGCUAACACCGGAUAUGCUCCCACCUUGGCAUCAGGGAGAGAGGAAAGUUUACACUAGAGGAUGAGCCCGCGUCCCAUUAGCUAGUUGGUGAGGUAACGGCCCACCAAGGCGACGAUGGGUAGCCGACCUGAGAGGGUGACCGGCCACACUGGGACUGAGACACGGCCCAGACUCCUACGGGAGGCAGCAGUAGGGAAUUUUCCGCAAUGGGCGAAAGCCUGACGGAGCAACGCCGCGUGAGGGAUGAAGGUCUUCGGAUCGUAAACCUUUGUCUAGAGGGACGAUAAUGACGGUACCUCUGGAGGAAGCCACGGCUAACUACGUGCCAGCAGCCGCGGUAAUACGUAGGUGGCAAGCGUUGUCCGGAAUUACUGGGCGUAAAGGGCGUGUAGGCGGCCUUUUAAGUCAGACGUGAAAACCCUGGGCUUAACCCAGGACCUGCGUUUGAUACUGAUGGGCUUGAGGACCGGAGAGGACAGUGGAAUUCCCAGUGUAGCGGUGAAAUGCGUAGAUAUUGGGAGGAACACCAGUGGCGAAGGCGACUGUCUGGACGGCACCUGACGCUGAGGCGCGAAAGCCAGGGGAGCAAACGGGAUUAGAUACCCCGGUAGUCCUGGCUGUAAACGAUGGGUACUAGGU
This 800-nucleotide ribosomal RNA is filed under the name uncultured bacterium. RNAcentral's name for it is "bacterial SSU rRNA". It matches the Rfam family "Bacterial small subunit ribosomal RNA", at positions 8 to 821 of the family's 1533-position model. The record is from RNAcentral.